Molecule: long non-coding RNA, 27069 nt
Filed under: Carica papaya (papaya)
Lineage: Eukaryota; Viridiplantae; Streptophyta; Magnoliopsida; Brassicales; Caricaceae
Description: long non-coding RNA (CPAP_LNC010528)
Source: RNAcentral
AAAACCUUGAGACCAUUGGGAUGCCAAAUCUUCUGGAAUAUAUUUAUGUUGACAAAUUUGUUGGACAUGAGAUUGAUCUUUACCUGGUGAAAGUUUUCCUUGAGAAUGCAAAAUCAUUAGUUAAGCUGACAAUCUCUACCUGUUGUAAUGAUAUUGAUGGAAAGAAGCCUGAGAUUAUUGAGAAGUUAAUGGCACUUCCAAGAGCUUCAACAAAUGUGGAAGUACUUCUCUUGUAACGUAAUUUUAGUUGCUGAAAAGAGGUAAUGACGUUUUUCUACUUAUUUUUAACACAAUCAAGAGGUUCUCAUGUUUGUACUUAAUGAUAUGCCAUUGCCAAUAUUCGGUUGAGAAGUGGUUGGGUUAAAUUUUUUUCUUGGCAAUGCUAUAAAGUAAACGUUACUGCUUAUUGCUGGGAAGUUGUCCAUUGGGAAUUUGGGACUUGGUACUGAAAUGCUCAUGCUUUUGUCGGCAAUAUGACCUUACUGUUGCCUAAAAAAAAAGUCUAAUUAUUGUUGCCUUGAGCUUUCUAUUGGUUCCUGCUAUUGGUUUGUGAAACUGGAAAAUGCAAUGCUUGGUUGGCUUUAUUUUUAAUGUUUGUAUCAUUUUCCUGAGGAGUGGACAAUCAUAUGUUAGCUAUAUUUUUAGGGACUUUUAUUUUUCUCCCCUGUAGAAUGCUUAACUCAUAGCUGCAGUAAAUGUUUUACCCAAAGGGAAACCUUUAACAAGUACAAUUUUGGCGAGUAUCAGAUUGUUUUAAAGUCCUUUUUAGUUGUUUCGAGAUUCCUAAAUGAAAGAAACAAGAAAAAAGAAAUGCCUCAUUCUUUACUGAUUUCAUUUUACUGUUUCUCUGCUUGCAGGAAAAACUUAAGAGAUCUCUCGUAAGGAUUCCUGUUUAGAGAAGGAAGAAGAUUCGCGUUUAACAUUGACAGACAAACUCUUGAGUCUUGGGAGACUUACAAAAGUGAGGCUGUGAGAUCCAUUUGAAGAAAAUAAAGAAAAAGGAUGGUGUUAACUUAAUAGGCCAAUAAUAGUUUAGCUACUUGAUGAAAGCCGAUGGAUGCUCUGUUAGAUAUAAAAAUGUAUAUUUUAUAGAAACAAAGAUGUGGAGCUUGUUUGUCUUUCUGUACUAAUCCUUUUGGAUGGAAAGUAAUGUAAUUGCAAAACUUUUGGAAUUUAAAGUAUUCAUCAUUGAAGGACUUUUGCUAGUUUGGAGAACGAUAUCUUCUGUUCCUUCUCUUAUUUGCUUCGAUCUAUGGGAGGAAAAAUUGAUUGUUGGCCGAGUCUGUAAAAGAAAAACUUUUGAUUGGGGAGACAUUUGUAAGAAAAAUUUUAAUUCUUAAUUGUCGAUGGUUAAUGAAAGUUGAACAUCCUGAAAAAUAAAUUAUAUGUUCGAUAUUGUUUAAUUUUUAAAUUUUCAAUUGAUCAACUAAAUCUAAUUGAUUUUAACGAACAACAUGUCAAUUUCUCUGCUUAUAUCAUUGCACAACAUCUUAUUGAAGAAAAGUAAUUGAUCAUAAAUUUUGCUUUGUUAAUGACUUAAAAAAUUGUGUAUUACCCUUUUUCUCUUUAGAUGUAAUUUAGUUUUAUUACAAUAAUUUAAAGAAUUUCCGCCAUGAGUUUGCUCUACUAUUUUAUUAUUAUGUUGGACAUGAGAUUGAUCUUUAUCGGGCGAAAAUUUUCCUUAAUAAUGCAAAAGCUUUGGUAAAAUUGACCAUCUCUACUUUUUGGAAUAGUACUGAAGGUGAUGAUGGAAAGAAGUAUAAGAUUAUUGAGAAGUUAUCAGCAUUUUCGAGAGUUUUAGCAAAAGUAGAAGUACUUCUCUUCUAACUAAAUUCCAUUGCUGAGAGGAGCUAAUAACAUUUGUGCUAUUUAUUUUUCAAUCAAGGGGUUCCCAUGUUUGUACUCGAAUUUCUUAUGUUUGUAUUUAGAUUAAUGAAAUGCCCUUGCCAUUAUUGGGUUGAGAGUUGGGUGGGUUAAAUUCUUAUUCUCAUCAAUGCUAUAAAGCAAACAAAUCUUUUUUUUUUUGGUAAAAACUAUUAAGUAAAAGUUUCUGCUUAUUGAUGGGAAAUGGGGGUCUCAGUACUGAAAUACUCAUGCUUUUGUUAGGUAACAUUAACUGAUUCUUGCUUUAAAAGAUUAAAAAAGAUAUCUAAUUAUUAUUGCCUUCAGCCAACUUUUGGUUCCUGUUGUUGGUUUGUAGAAGAAAAAUAAAAUGCACAGUUGAAUAUAUUUCCAAUAUUUCAAUCAAUUCCUCUUCAUUAGAUGUUCAUAUUUUCUGUUGGCAAUAUUGUAAAUAUUUUUUAUUAUUGUCGUCGAUGGAAUGUUUCGGUGCAAUUCCACGUAGCACUUAACAAGUUAAAUUAUGAUAUGCGUGAGAUUGUUUCAUGGUCCCUUCUCAUUUCAAGGUUUCAAUAAGAGCGACGAAUAUUUUUACAAAAGAAAAAUAAAUAGUUCAUGGUCAAUGGCUUUCAUCUAUGUUUUUUACCGGUUUGUGAGAAAAUCCAACAAAUCUUAGAAGGGUUUCUAUAAGUUAGAAUCAAGAAAAUUGACAUUUGACAUUGAAUAAAUAACAGUAUGAGAAUAUAAUCUUCCCUAGCGACUAACUCUAAAUCUUUCAACCUUCAAAAAAAAGAAUUUUUCAUCUUAUCAUUAUAACUGGCUAAGUAAUUAAGAACAAUCUUCAUACUGCAAGUCCUAAAUACUUGUCUUCAGGAAAAAAUUUCAAGAUACAAGUUUAGGAACUUGUCUUCUAUGUAUCAUACGGUUGUUCAAGUUGGAAAAACAUACAAUCAUAUUGCUUAGAAAAUCUUUUAUAUCAUUAAAUUAUCUGUAAACAAUGAUUUGUGAUAGUAUAAUCUUUGGCCAUCCCAUAUAAAAUUCUCUAUUUUUGUUGUUUUUUGUAUUAUGAAAUUGUGUAUUAUCAUAUUAUGCUCGGUGCUGCAGUUUCUCUUCUAUAAAUGCAACAAUCCUUUGACACAUACAAAUUGAAUUAUAUUUUUAUACUGUAACAGAUGUUUCUGCUUGUCUGUUUGGUCAUCUCUCAACUAAGAAAAAUAUAUCAAAAUAUAUAUAUUUAUAUAUAUGCAAGCUAAUUUUUUAAGAUUGUAUGUAAAUGUCCAGAAACAAUUUUGAAAACAUCACGAUUGUUAUGAUCCUUAGUUUUAAGAAAUACUUUUUGUAGAAGAGUUUGAUGUGGUGACUUUUGUGAAAUCUCUAAUUUUCACUUUCUUGGUAUUAAUUGUUAUGGUGGAGGUGAGUUACUAGAAUGCCAGAUACUUUAUAAGAUAAGUUUACUAUAAAGUAAGAAAUGGAGUUUUGACGAAAAUAACGAAAUUAAUUAAGAUAUAUCUAUUACAUAGAAAAUCAUGUACUUUAACAUAUUUCUUAAAUUUGAACUAAUAUUUUUUUUUUAAAUAACAUUGAACUGAUAUUUUCAAUUACGAUUUUUAGAUCCUAUGCCUUUUAAUUACUUGAAGAUAGAACUGACGCUUAAUAUUCGGUGUAAUUCACCAUAAAAUACUCCCACAUGCUUUGGAAAUGUGAAAUUAAUGUCAACAACAAAACCAAACUCAUUGUUUCAUUAUUUUGUCCUCUCAUCUAGAGUUGGCACACCUUUUUUUUUCCCUCAAAUAAUACAUUUACAUCUUAUUUUGAUAAAUUUUAGUGAUAAAUAAUUAAUGUAUGACAAUGACAGUGAUUGGAUGACAAUGACACAUGAUGGGAAUGAAUUUUUUUUUUUUAAUAUUUGGACGAUUGUGUAUUAAUGUAUGUUAAUGACGACUGUUUGUUUGAAUGAUAAAAUAGUAUAUUUAUAUUUUUAGUCAAAUUAUUAAUUUAUCUCUAUUUAAUAUAUGUAAUAGUAAAUGAUAUAUAAGAAGUAUAUAAUAAAAAAAAUAAAUAAAUUAUAUAAGAAUAUAAUUAAAUUUGUAUUUAAAUAAAUAAUUAUUACACAUAAUCAAAUUAAACUUUUAUAUUUAAUAAAAUAAAUAAUUGUUAUUUAUAUUAUUACAUUAAUUUAAUUUUAAUAUAUAUUAAAAAUAAAUGAUUGUAAUUAAAUAUUAUUAUAUUAAAUCUAAAAUUAUUUUAAUAAAUAAAAAAUUAAAAUGUGUUUGAGAUAAUCGCAUAUCAUGAGUUAAUUUGAUGAAAUGAGAAGAGAAAUAUGGGGUUUAUUUGAGGAUAUAACUAGAAUUAAAUAUAUUUUAUGAAGGUAUAACGGGAAAAAAAAAUAUUACAUGCCGAUCACAUACCACCGAUUCGGUGGUUUUAAAAUUUAUCACAAAUUUGUCAAUCAUAUACCGUUUGUUACCAUUUCAUCUGAUUGGAAGUUAAAACAAAUAUGAUUUUUUUAGUGGAAUACCAUAUAUUAAUUAAUUACCAUUUACUACGAUCAAAAUAGAGUGUUAAUGUUGCUCCAAAAAAAUCAUAUCUCUCUCUAGGCCCACCCUAAUUACAAAACCAAUCACAUUUUCUUCUUCAAUUCAGCUAUCAGAAAACCAUACCUUUAACAUUGUUCCAUUACUUUCUCCCAUGCCAGCCUCAUCUACAUCCUUAAUCUGGCUUACAUUCUCUAAUAGAAAAAUUGAUAUGCUUUUUAGCAAAUUAUUUCUCUUCUCUGUUUCUUUUGUUAUUGUAUUUGCAUUACCCAACUAAUUACUCUUUACAGAUCCUUCACAACAAAACAUAAUUUUAUGGUGAACCUAUAAUGAAUAGCGUACACUAUGUUUUUUGAUAUAUCACAUUCAUGUACAUAGAAACUAUGCAAUUUUUAAAGUUUAUAUAAGAUUAUCAUUGAUUAAGCACAUAUCACAAUCCAAGAAAUAGAGAACUUAAAUGAAGAUGUGCUUUUUUUUUUUUAUAUAUAAGCCUGCCCAUGCCUAAAGCUCAUCCCUCACCAAUCCCGCAAUCACCCAAUUGAUCCUUAGGAGACCGUACACUAUAGACUAGAUGUUAUACAUCAUCAGGCAACAUAGAAGAAUGUGGUUACAUGAUUCCACAUUCAUCUUACAUAAAAAGUAGUUAUUAACCAUAAAUUUUUUCUUCCUCAUCAGCUUAGCAUUUGGUUAAAAUCAUCUUCUAAGGUUAAAAAAAGAUGGAGAGAGGAUUUUCUUAUCUUAUACCUUAAGUACUCAGAGACAACCAAGAGGCUUACUAUUCGCUAUAGUUACAAACGAAACUAUAAUAAACAACCUUAUACCCAUCUCCUGCUAUCCUAUCCAAAUCCUUUUUAGAACCAUAACUAAGUCCAAAAACUCCCAUUUCAUCAUGUCAAAUGCCUUAUCAAAAUCUAGUUCGAGGACCAAGCCUUUUUCGUUCUAUGCGUAUGUCCCACUGCUUCAUUAGUUGUAAGGGACAAUAAUCCAAUAAUCUAAUAUCCAUUAUGGUACGUUUUUCUUGGAUAUUAGGAUGAUCAAUAUUGAUUUCAUACUUCUACAAAUUCUCUCAUUCAAGUGAAAUUCCUCAAAAACUUUCAUCAAAUGAUCUUUAUAAUAUCCCAACAUGAUUGAAAAAAUGCACAUAUAAAUCUAUCAGAGUCAGGAGCUUUUUUUGUGCUUAUUCUUCUAAUAGCUCUCCUAAUCCGAGUCAGGAGCUUCCUAAGCGUUCUGCUUGAGCUACGCUCAUGGGGUGCCAAUGGAUAUCUUCUAUAUAAGGGUGUAGAAACACUUGGUUUGGUUAAAAAAAAUUCAAAAGUAAACAAAAAAAAGCUAAUUGGCACUCAAUAACUGAUUGAAUACUGAUAUGCUUAAAUAAGAAUAACCAAAAACAAAAUUGAGCUGAAUAUAUUUUAAAUUGAAAAUUUGAGUAAAAUACUACUUUUACUCAAUUUGGUUAAAAAAAUUUCAAAACAAAAAAAAAAAUUGUUAAAUCUUAUUAACUAACCGAAUCGACUGAUUAAGUGAGAAUGACCGAAAUUGAAUGAGUUUAAUAUAUUUUAAACUGAAAAAUUGAAUAAAGUACUAAUUUUAUUUCCUUAUACACAAUUUAUAUUUUAUAUUUCAUUUUCAAACUUUAAAAUUUUAAUUUCAUUAUCAACUGAUUUCGUUUUACUAACUUGAUUGCAGGAAGAUUUAAUAAAUCUACGAAUGAUUCAUGUAUGUAUAACAAAGACAAUUAGUGUUUGACAUUGAUAAAACAAUAGUUUAUUUCUUUAGUCUCGUAUUUUUAGAUAUUUUUUAUCCUUUCAUUUUUUCGACAUCAUUUAUACGUAUAAUUAUUUAAUAUCUAAGCGUGUUCUUUAUCCUUUUAUUGUUGGUUGGUAAACUAGUGUAAUUAAAGUACAAAUAUUCUACCACUAUAAAGAGAGAGAAAUAAAUAUAAUGUUUGUCUUGAUAAUAAUUUUUUAAUUAAUUGAAAGAAAUUUUAUAAUUAUAUUUUUUAAUUUUACUUUAAUUAUUACCAAAUUUAAUCAUGUUAUUUCUUAAAUACUAAUUGAUCUUUUCAUGUUAAUACAAAGAGUUUUUGUAACGACCCCGAAAAUUUAAAAGGAAAUGUAUAUAAAAAAAAAUCUGAGUGCGGAAGCGAAAUAAAAGGGUUCUGAUUAAUAUCCCUAACACAAUAACUUAAAACGUACUAAUAAUAUCAAAGAAUAAGUCAUCUAAAGGAAAUACUAGAAAUGAAAGACUAUAAAGAAAACUAUAAGAUAUAUAGGCAUCUACUCGCCGUCUUCUUGCAGAAUGGGUUUGGGAACCAAGUUCUCCUGAUAUGAAAUGGUUAAGUAAGGAAUGAGCUACACUAGUCCAGUAAGAACGUCACACUAUAUCACUGUCACAAAAGUAAAGGUUGGUAGAAAAAAACAAAAACAACCAAUGAAGUACGAUUUUUAAACAAAUUCAUUUAUCAAUAAUCAAACUAUUUACCUCAGUGAGUGUUAUAAAAACGAUCUAUAGAAACAAUAACAUCAUAGAUAUCAUGAAUUCAUACAUAUUCUGUAACAUAACACAUGUUAUACUUUUAUAUUUCAAUCAUCAAAUAGCAAUUGCCCUAUUUUAUCAGCCUACUAGUAUCCAUGAGGAUCUAUAGGGGUCUCCGCUACACGUGAACUAUUCAAUUUAACAAACUUAAUUCCAGGGCCAUCCCUAUACCCUGUCCGGUAUGGGCGCCAAAAUAAUAAACCUUAAUACCUCGUUCGGUAUAAGGGUGAAGCGGGUCGUCCUCAUACCCCGUCUGGUAUGAGCGUCAAAACAUUUAAAGUCUCCAUACCCCAUUCGGUAUGAGACAACGUUCCCGUUAGGGUUCCCUAUGGACCCGAUCAGUUUACUAUCUCCCAGGAUAUCUAGUGAGGCUGUCGUCUUAUCCAAUUAUCAAUUCAAUCCCAUUCCUAUUUAUCCUUAAUCUCUGUUACCCAUUCAAAUAUGAAUACUUAAACAAGCAACGUGCAUCCAACAAGGCAAGCAUAUCUUAGAUUCAUAUAAUUAAGCAGCAGUGAAGUAAAUAGUGAUUCAUGCAUUCAAAAUCAUAAAAUGAAUAAACCAAAUACCACAAUGUAUUUAAAACUGUAAAAUAAAUCAAACAGAAACUGACAGAGAAAUAUGUCCGAUUCGGGCUCCAUUAGCAACUGUAAUUAAUUAUGCAUAUUUACUUAAUUUGUACAAAAUACAGUUUUAUCAUUUAUUCAGACUUCAAUCCCGUGAUAGAAAAUAGGGUGAGGGGUCCUUACCUGAUUCGAAAUCAAAAAUAUGAUUUUCACUGCACCUACGGACAGUCCCUAGAUUUAUUGAAUUUUUUUUCGAGAAUUGAGACGCUCUUACGGUACCUACACACGUCCCAAAUAACUCAAAAAUCAUAUCCAAGGCCUACUCGGCUAAUUUCAGAAUUCUGGCAUGGCGGCUCCGCCAUGCUCCGGCGACAGCGAUCCGCCUUGGGUUGGCUGUUUUUGGCCGUUUCCGGCCGAAUUCAGCCAAACUUGUACCAGUUCCUGCGAGAAAACUCACGCAAUGCCCUCGGUGGGCCGAAAAAAUACAGAAAACCGAAACUUACCAGCGGCGGGGCUCUCCGGUGCGGCGGCUCCUUCGGCUCGAGUCCUGGUUUAGUGUUUUGCUCCGGUAAACCUGUAGAGGAGGAAACGGUAGUUACAAUGGUAAAAAAAUUACGUCGAACGGGACCGGAAAUGGCCUCAUCGGAGGCAAAAAUUAAGAUAACCUGUUGCGGCGCCGCUGGGCUUCGGCGGCAUUUUCCAGUCAAUUGGCUGAUUUUUUUCUCCAAUUUGGCCAUAGGUGGGUUUAGAAUCGAAUUCUGAGCCAAUGGGAGAAUUUUUUACCUCAUUUGGCAGCCGAAAAUUGUUCCAGUGCAGCGGUGGGUGGCGGCGGUCGGCUCUCCAGUGGGUGGCAGCCGCCGGCGGGCUGUCUUCUCCGACGAGGGGCUCUGGCGGCUAGGGUUAGGGUUUGGGUGUGGAUGAGAUUAUUUAUAACCUUCCGCUUUUAAUCUGAGUCGUCCAUCGUAAUUUAAUCUUUACCGUCCGAUCGCGAUUAAAUAAGAAAUGAAUAUGGAUCGUAUAUCGCGAUGCAAUCUGAACCGUCCAUGUGCGAUUCAAUCUGGGUCAUCCUGCGCGUGCAAUCUGGGCCGUCCGUACGCGUAGGAACGGAUCUCAGUCAUUCGAUCGUGCGCACGCAAAUCGCCCACGUGGCUCCCUUCCGUAUAGUCUCUCGUGUCAGCGUCCCUGCCACGCCGCGCAUACUGGUUGGCCGGGGCUGCUGAUCGGGCAGCUGACGUGGUGCAAUUUUUUUAAAUUGCGUUUUGACCCCCGAUUUUCAAAUUUUCUUUCAAAAAUACUCAUAAAACCCAAAUUUACACUCAUUUUUAUCAAAAUUAUUUUUAAUUAGAUCCCUAAGUAAUUUUUACUCCUUUUUAUUGUUUGUAUUAUUAUUAUUUCAUUUAAAAUAAAUUAAAUUUUAUUAAUACUUAAUUAUAUUUAUAUAGAAUAAAUUAAAAUAAAGUAAAAUACAAUAAAAUAAUAAUAAUAUAAAAAAAAGGAUUCUUGGGUGUUACAGUUUUCACAUUAAAAUUAUUAUAUUUUUUAAUGAUUAUUAUUUUUUUUUGAAUUUUUGAGAUUUAAUCUUAAACAUACUUAAAAUUAUUUUAUAUUUUUUAUUACAAUUAAAUAUUUUAUAAUAUUUUCUAUGUCCAACACCAACAUAUUCGUUUAUAAUAAUAUAUUUUAUCGAAAGUUAUUAAUAUGCAAAAAAAUUAAUUCAAAAUUCAAAAAUUAUAAUAUCUUUGACGAAUUUAUAAAAUUCAAACUUGGCUAACAAAAAUAAUUUUAUAAAAUAUGCUUUUUGGUGGAAGAGAGGAAAAUAGAUAAAAAAUAGAUUUAGUUAAAAAAAAUAUUUAAUUAAAAAUUGAUUUAACAUUUCUUUGAAUUGGUUCAAGGGGCCGAACCCAAAUGACGAGAACAAUUGGAUCUGGGUAUCCUGCAACAGAGACGAACGACUAGGCUUGUUUGAAGCUUUGAAGAGGUAUAUACUCGUCUUGUUUGUAUUUUGGGAGUUAGGGUUUAUAAAUUCAUCCUUAGCCAGCAGGGAUCAGACGAGUCCCUUUCGAUCGAGUCGCUUCCGAUCUGUNNNNNNNNNNNNNNNNNNNNNNNNNNNNNNNNNNNNNNNNNNNNNNNNNNNNNNNNNNNNNNNNNNNNNNNNNNNNNNNNNNNNNNNNNNNNNNNNNNNNNNNNNNNNNNNNNNCGUCAUGAUCAAACUAGGAGAAAAUUUUUGAACUUUCACUUUCAAUCACUGAUUUUUUAGGUCAAGCAAUGAACUUGACUAAAAAAAUGAUCUGGGUGACUUCGUUUAUAAUUUGGGUUGGUUUGGAUUGAUGGUUCUUUUUGCUUGGAUAAUUUUGAGUUUGUUAAAUGUGAUUACUUGGAUUUUCAAUCUACUUUCCUGUGUUUACAUCUAAGUAUAUGUGAUUUAAAUAUUGAUUGUAUCAGGUUGAAAGCUUUUUAGCAAUUAGGGAAUACGGAUGGACACUGGAACUAAAUUCUAGUAAUUUCCCUGGCAAGUUUUCUGGUUAUCACUUUAAGCUAUAUAUCCUAAGCAAACUAAUAUAAUGAUUUUCAAAAACUAAUUUAUCCAUAAUGUGGUUAUACUUGGUUCUCAUAGGAGAAUCUAUGGCAGAUUCUGACAUUAAUUGUGUGGACAAUAAUGUUUCUUUGUUGAUAGUAUGUAUUGAUUGACAGCUUUUAGGUUUAAAUAUUACUGGUUUGAAUUUGUUAAAUGUGAUUACUUGGAUUUUGAAUCUGGUUUCCUGUGUUUACAUCUAAAUAUGUGAUAUCUAAAUGUUGAUUAUAUCAGGUUGAAAGCCUUUUACCAAUUAGGGAAUGCGGAUGGAUACUGGAACUAAAUUCUAGUAAUUUCCUUGACAGUUCUCUAGUUGUCACUAUUAGUUAUAUAUCCCAAGUAAACGAGUGUACCGAUUUUCAAAAACUAAUUUAUCCAUAUUGUGGUUAUACUUGGUUCGUGUAGGAGAAUCUAUGGCAGAUUCUGACGUUUGUUUUCUUUUGUUUUUUGAAUAAAGGGUGGGAAAAAGCACCAGAUUGAAAGCAUUGUAUCUUGGAACAUUUGGUAAGUCCACUACUCAAUUUUGAUGGUUGUUUAUUUUAUGGAAAAUAAUGUGACAUUAUAUGUAUUUUUCUUCUAAAAAAUUGAUAUUUUUUAAGUAGUGUAUAUUGAUUAACAGCUUUUAUGUUAGUAUUACAUAAAAUGCAGUUAUUGCUAUGUGGUCUCAUUUGUUCACAUUGAUUGGACAAGUACUUGGUUCUUAUAGGAGAAUCUAUGGCACAUUCUAACAUUGAUUGUGCGGACAAUAAUGUUCUUUUGUAGAUAGUAUGCAUUGAUGAACAGCUUUUAGGUUUAAAAAUUAGUAAGUGCAGUUAUUGCAAUCUGGCUUCAUUUGUUAACUUUGGUUGUGUCGGGUACAUGAAUGUUUCUGCUGGUUAAAAUUUAGGGUUAGGUUCAGUUACAUUUUGCAUUGACCAAUGCAUAUUCCGGGAAUGAAUCCAUUUAUGGAAAAACAAAUUAUCAUUUAUAAAUGCUGUACCGUAACCAUGAUUAUGCACACUUGAUGUAACUCUGGCGCUCUGAAGUCUUUGAUUAUAAUCGUUCAUCAAAAUUCUUGCAUCUAUUUCUCUUCGGAAUCUCAAAGGAUUGUGUCUUAUACAUAUUGUUUUGACAAUUAUUGAUUGGGAAAUUUUUGUUAUAAUCCUGGCUGGCACUGAAGCAAUAUGCAUGUAUGUUAAUAUGAUCUUUCCCCAGUUUAUUUUUUUUAAAAAAAAUGAUCUUUCCCUGGUCAAGCUUCUAAAUAUUUCAACCCUCAAAACGAAAUUUCAUCUUAUCAUUAUUGUUGGUAAAUGAUUGAGACAGUCUUCGUUCGACAAAUCUUAACCACAUAUAUUCAGGAGUAAUUUUACGGUACUAUAAAUUUAGGAACUUGUCCUCUAUAUAUCAUGAAGUUUUUAAAGUUGGAGAUGGUGUAAUCACUCUGUUGCUUUGGGAAUGUUUAAUGUAACUAAAAUUAUCUGCAGAUGAAUGGUUUGUGAUGGUAUGAUCAUUGCCCAUUUCACGGAAAUCUCUUUUUUCCUUUUCUUUUGCAUUACGGAAUGAUGUAUUAUCAUGUUAUGUUUUACUAUCACAGUUUCUCUUCUCUAAAUCCAAUAAUCAUUUGACAUAUGCUAACUGAAUUAUAAUUUACAAACAGAUGUCUCCACCUGUCUUUAUGUCAGUGGUCAACCAAGAGAUACAUCCAGACAACUAUAGCCCCAUAGUGCUGAAAAUGCACUGGAUACUUCCUCAUGCAUGUAAGUUCCAGAACUUCAAUUUUAUUGAGUAAGAUACUUGCCUGAGUUUUCGGUAUUGACAGCACAAUAGAUAUUUCUUUCUCGCCGGUCUCCAUCUGUUGGAGUAUAUCGACCUCAUUAAAUAUUGUAAAUUCAGUCAGAUCCUUUGAUUCAUCUUCUUUGAUAUCACUAGUAUCUGCAAGAUUAUAGAUGUGGUUGUUGUACUGAUCUGUAUCAACAAUAUUAUCGCACUCAAACACUCAAUCAACUUCUCCUGGAUCCAAUAGCAAGUUGAGAUCCAAUGGCUGUAGCUUAAGUAGAGAAGGAUUGGUAGAACUAAAAAAUUGUGAACUUUAAAACCAAAUCAAGAGGAUUGUAAAUUUUAGUUCUAUCAAUCCUGCCCUACUUAAGUUACAACCAUUAGACCUCCACCUGCUAUGGAUUCAAGAGAAGUCGAUCGCUUGCUUGAGUGCGAUAACAUUAUUGAUACAGAUUAGAACAACAACCACAUCUAUGAUCUUGCAGAUAUUGGUGAAAUAAAAAAAGAUGAAUUAAAGGAUCUGACUAAACUUACAGUAUUUAAUGAGGUUGAUAUACUCCAGCAGAUGGAGACCGACAUUGAAAAAAUAUCUAACAGGUGCGCAGAGCCAGAGCCUGGCAUGUUCGCCUGGUCGUGCUGUCAAUAUCAAAAUCCCAGGCGAGCAUCUUACUCCUCAAUCGUAGAGAGAAAGAAUAAGAGUGUAAAGUGGUUUCCUGCUCCAGACUGCAAGCUGUGGUAGGGAGUAAUGGAUUCAUGAUGUGUCAUGUGCACGUUACCCCAAAUUUUGCUAGCAUUGUAGCCACAAGGCUCACUGUCCUGUAGACUGUGACAGUAUGAAGCAAUGGAUGUUGAAGAACAAGUUAGACAGAGGUAACAUGGAGUGGUAUUACUGAAUAUAUAUGCAAGCUGAUCUUUUAAGAUUGUAUAAAAAUAUCUCCGCACAAUUUGGAAAAUAUCUGAGGAAUUUUUGUUAAUGAAAGAGUUCGUUGUACAGCAAAGCGAGCUUGUUUUUCUUGCACUUUGCGAGAGAAUACAAUGUGUUGGACCUUCUGUUCCCUAAUAAGUUGUAAAGAAAUCUCUGUGAAGCUCUUUUUUCUCAACCAAGAGGCUUUGCCUCUUGCAUCUUUUCCUCCAGAACGUUGAAAAGAUUUUCUUUUCUCAUAGACGCUAUGUUCUUAGAUGGUUCACAUCCAUUUAUCUUUCCAAUCUUAAAGAGCGUCUGGGAGGUGUCAUUUUCACUGAUGGUGAUUUGUUAGGGAAUUAUUCAUCAUGCCCAAUGUUGAAAUUUGUGCAAUUAUGGACUGCAAUAUCUUUUCUAAAGGUUCUAAAUGUCUCUGCUCUCAGACUCAAAUAUCUUUAGAUAGACUAUUUUCGUGGGCUCAAAAACAUUGAGAUCAAUCUUCAUACUUGAAGUCUUAUAUCACUUAUACUGGGAGGAAAUCUUGCACAAAACUAUCAUAUUCGGGACGGUCCUAUUCAUUAUGUAGAUAUUCAAGUUGGAGAAGUUUACAGAAACCAAAUGAGUAUAGAUGUUUCUAGUUAGUCUGCGUUUAAGUUGCUGACUGAAAUCUGUAAUGUUACCGUACUAGCUGUGGAUAAUUUGUUUCGGGAGGUAUAUGCUUUGUCCAUUUCUUCUACUUAUUGAGUUUUCAUAUUUUUGGCUAAUUACUUGAUUUCUUUAAUGCAUCCUCUUACCGUUCCUUUUAAAACAUUCAAUUAACCCAUGAAAUUCCUUUCCUUUUAAUACACAGAAGAUUACGAUCCUCCUCGAUAGAAUGUCAAAUGUAUAUAAUGCCUACUUUCUAAUGAUUGUGAGUUCCUAAACUUCAAUUUUUGUCAUAUUUUACACAUUUAUUAGCCACUAUUAUUUGGGGACAGUAGGUUACUUAAUUGUUAAAGUGCAUGCUUACUAUAGUAAUUAUGUUUAUUAUUUUUUUGCUUUUCUGAACUAUAUUAAAUUGUGCAGGCACAAGAAGAGACUUUAUUCUUGUCCACUUAGGAAUGGAAUUCAGAAAACCAUGUGACUGUUGGGAUUCCAAAUUUUCUGGAAUAUGUUUACAUUAACAUGUCUUUUGGACAUGAAAUUGGCCAUCUCUAUCUUUCAGAAUAGUACUUAAGCGAUGAUGGAAAGAAGUAUAAGAUUAUUGAGAAGUUAUUAGUACUUCCAAGAACUUCAACAAAAGCAGAAGUACUUCUGUUGUAGUUUAAAUUUUAGGUUCUCAAAAGAGGUAAUAACAUUUUUGCUACUUAUUUUCAACAAGUAAGGGGUUCUUACGUUUGCACUUGAGUUUCACAAAUUUGCACUUAAGUUAAUGAGAUGUCCUUGCCAAUAUUGGUCGAAAGAUUCUUGGGUAAAUUCUUUUCUUGGCAAUAUCUACAAAAUAAAAUUUCUGCUUAUUGUUGGGAAUUGUCCAUUAGGAAUUUGCAGUAUCAGUACUGAAAUGCUCAUGUUUUUGUAGGUAACAUUAUUUCCUUAGGCCAACUAUUGGUUUUUGCUAUCGGUUUGUGGAACUGGAAAAUUCAAUGCGUGGUUAGCUAUAUUUCUAGUGUUUUGACCAUCUCCUUAGGAGUAGACAAUCAUAUGUUGAUUAACUAUGUUUUUUGGAAUUUUUAUUAUUUUUGCUGUGAAAUUUUUAGGUGCAUACCCAAGUCAAACACAAGUUAAAUUGCAAUGCACAUCAGAUUGUUUCGGUGUCCCUUUAAGUUGUUUUAAGGUUUUCUGUAUGAAAGGAAAAAGAAAAAAGAAAUGGCUCACUCUCAACUGAUUUCAAUUCUAUGUUUCUCUGGUUGCAGGAAAAAAUCAAAUUGCUGAAUGGUUCAUGUGUGGACAACAAAGAGAAUUAGUGUUUGACAUAGACGAAACAAAAGUUUAAGUCUUUUGUCCUGUAUCUCGGGACACUUACGUUAAUGAGGCUAUCGCGUCCCUUUCGAGAAGACCAAGGAUAAAAGGGGCCUAUCUUGAUAGGAUUAGAUAGUUUAACCUCUUGAUGAAACUAGUGCUUACUUUGUCAAAUAAAUGUACAUUUUAUUCAAUCUUUUUUUAUACUAAGGGCCAAAUUUUAUGGCCCCAAUGCUGUGAUAUAGUUGUCUAUAUGUAUUAUAUGUACAGAUAGCAUGUAGAAAGAAACUCAGAAGUCAGGAAAUUAGAAAACUUAUCAUGAGAUUAGAGUAUGGAGAAGGAGAUGUAGCAGCUUGUUUUUCUUCUUUGUCAUAAUCUCCUUUUGAAUGUAAUGUAAUGGAAUUGCAAAAGUUUUGGAAUUUAAAGGAUUCCUCUUUGAAGCACUUUCUCUAGUUUGGUUGUCUUCUUAUUGUAAGCGGUAAACUGUUAUCGAUAUGGAAUAAUUGUGAUCGAACUAUGCAAAUCUAUCUUUUUUUUUUCUGAUAUUUCUCUUAUUGAAAUGGAUUUAUGUUGGAAUUAUUGUUUUUAGGUUAAAGAGUACUUCAAAAAUUUGUGGUAAAUUUGUUCCAUCUAAUGAUUAUUUUUUAUUCGUUGUUGAGAUAUAAUAUAUUUAAGAAAUAAAUAAGUAUAAUGAUGUAAAAAUAUAUUAAAUUAGAGAAUUUUUUUAAAAAUAUAAAAUUAGAUUAAAUUUAAAAAUUAAAAAUUAAAAUCAAUACUAAUAUAAGACCAUUUAUUCGAUUGAAUGUUUUUAAAUAUUAUUCUAAUUUAUAAUAAUAUAGUUUAUUAAAAUAUAUUAAGUUUUAUAUUAUACAAUGUUAGAUGGAUUUUUAAAUUAAAUAAAGCAAAUAUUUCAAAUAAAAUGCAAAACGGCACACAUAUGGUGCGUUCUUCUGGGUAGAUAAGUUUGGAUUUAACAUUUCAUCAGCGGAUCCCGAAUGAAACACAAUCGGGUUAGGGUAUUCUUCGGAUCUUGUUUGUGUUUUGAGAGUUAGGGAUUAUAAAUUCAUCGUUAACCACCAGGUAUCCCACGAGCCGCUUCCCAGCUUUGGAAUAGAUUGAGGGAAGUCUGCAUAGAAUCUUACCAGAGAGAUGGAUGCUGUAAAACCUGGAGAGAAACAGCUAGAGAAAGAAGAUGACGACGACGACGAAGAUGAAGGAACCGUCGUGGAUCAUGAAGUCCUUCCGUCGAAUAAGUAAUUUACCAAGGUAAUCUCGGUUGUUGUCUCUUGGCUGAGCCUCUUUUUAAUCUUUUAUCACUACGUUUUUGCACUUGAUUUGGAUUUCUUCAUGAUCGAUUGAAGCGGGAAAUUGAAAAAAACAAAGAUAAACUUUUUUGAUCUUUCAAUUCAGUUGCUGGUUGUUUUAGGUCAAGCAAUGAACUUGACUGAAAAAAUUAUCUGGGUGGCUUCAUAUAUAAUUUGGGUCGAUUUGGAUUGAUGGUGAUUUUUGCUUAGAUAAUUUCAGUUGGUUAAAUGUGAUUAAUUGGACUUUGAAUCUACUUUCCGGUGUUUACAUCUAAAUAUAUAUGAUUUGAAUAUUGAUUAUAUCAGGUUGAGAGCUUUUUAGCAAUUAGGGGACACGGAUGUGUACUGGAACUAAAUUCUAGUAAUUUCCCUAGCAGUUCUCUAGUUGUCGCUUUUAGUCAUAUUUCUUGAGCACGCUAGUAUUCUGAUAUUGAAAAAUUAAUUUAUCCAUAUUGUGGUCAUACUUGGUUCUUGUAGAGAAUCUAUGGCAGAUUCUGACGUUUGCUCUUUUCUUUUAGAAAAAAAGAUUGGGAAAAUGCACGGGUUUGAAAGCGUUGUAUCUUGGAACAUUUGGUAAGUUCACUGCUCAAUUCUGACGUUUGUUUAUUUUAUGAAAAAUAAUGUUACGUUAUAGACAUUUUUCUUCUAAAAAAAUGAUACUUUUUAGUUAGUGUAUAUCGAUUAACAGCUUUUAGGCUUAAUAGUACUUAAAUGCGGUUAUUGCUAUGUGGCCUCAUUUGUUAACAUUGAUUGUGACAAGUACUUGGACAUUUAGGGUUAGGUUCAGUCACAUUUUGUAUUGACCAACGUAUAUUCCGGGAAUGAAUCCAUUUAUGGAAAGAAAAGAUUUUCAUUUAUAAAUGCUGUACCUUAACCAUGAUCAUGCACACUUGAUGUAACUCUGGCGCUGGUGGGAUCUGAAGUCUUUGAUUAUAAUCGUUCGUCAAAAUUUUUGUAUCCAUUUCUCUUCGAAAUCUCAAAGGAGUGUGUCUUAUAGAUACUGUUUUGACAAUCAUUGAUUGGAAAAUAUUUGUUAUAAUCCUGGCUGGUGCUGAAGAGUAUGCAUGUAUGUUAAUAUGAUCUUUCCCCAGUUUAUUUUAAAAAAAUCUUUCCCUGGUCAAGCUUCUAAAUAUUUCAACCCUCAAAACAAAAUUUCAUCUCAUCAUUAGUGUUGGUAAAUGAUUGAGACCAUAUUGAGGAGAAAUUUUAUGGUACUAUAAAUUUAGGAACUUGUCCUCUAUAUAUCGUGAAGUUUUUCAAGUUGGAGGUGUAAUCACUCUGUUGCUUAGGGAAUGUUUCAUGUAACUAAAUUUUCUGCAGACGAAUGGUUUGUGAUGGUAUAAUCUCUGCUCAUUUCGUGUAAUUUCUUUUUUCCUUGCCUUUUGCAUUACAGAAUAAUGUACUAUCAUGUUAUGUUUUGCUGUCGCAGUUUCUCUUCUCUAAAUCUGACAAUCAUUUGACAUAUGCAAAUUGAAUUGUGUUUUACAAACAGGUGCCUCCAUCUAUCUGUCUGGUCAGUGGUCUACCAAGAGAUACGUCCAGGCAGUUAUAGCCCAAUAGUGCCGAAAAUACACUGGAUACUUUCUCAUGCAUGUAAGUUCCAAAACUUCAAUUUUAUUGAGGAGUAAGAUACGUGCUUGGGAUUUCGAUACUGACAGCACAAUUGAUAUUUCUUCAAUAUCGGUCUCCUCUUGUUGAAGUAUAUUAACCUCAUUAAAUAUUGUAAAUUUGGUAAGAUCUUUUGAUUUAUCUUCUUUGAUAUCACCAGUGUCUGCUAGAUCAUAGAUGUGGUUGUUGUGCUGGUAGUAUCAAAGAAGAUAAAUCAGAGGAUCUAACCAAAUUUACAAUAUUUAAAGAGGUUGAUAUACUCCAGCAAAUGGAGACCGACAUUGAAGCAAUACUAUUGUGCUGUCAGUAUUGAAAUCUCAGGAAAGUAUCUUGCUCCUCAACAUGGCUGGAGCACUAAUAAAGUGUACGAUAAAUGGUUUUCUAAUGAAUGCAAGGUUCGUGAGAGGACCAGUUAGUUAAUUGAGAAUCUACCAAAAGUUUCGUUAGUCUUAUUAAUUACAGAAUCUGCUUUGGAUCUUAUAGUCAUGAUAAGAUUCAAUCGGCUUCUUGUGGCCAUGGCCAUUAGUGGUUGUUUGGGGCUAAGGUGUCCAGAGCCAUCUUGCAGCACAAUUGUCUGCCAGGACAUGGGUUUUUGGGUUGCCCACUUAGGUGGAAAAGGAAAAAUAUCUUGGUUACGUUGUUCAAUUUUAUGUACAAAAAAGGAAUGAUAUUUUAAAGUGAUGUCCCAUUCCAGACUGCAAACGUGCAAUCGUUCUAGCAGUGGUACGGAGUAAUGGGAUUCAUGAUGUAUUAUGUGCAUGUUACCACAAAUUAUGACACUGUGAAUCAAUGGAUGUUGAAGAACGAGUGAGAUGGAGGUAACAUGAAGAGUUUUUACUGAAUAUUAUGCAAGCUGAUUUUUUAAGAGUAUAUGAAAAUGUCUCCACACUGUGUCGAUAAUGUCGUGAUUGUUGGAUCCUAAAUUUUGAGGAAUUUUUUUUAAUGAAAGAGUUUGUUGUACAGCUAAGCUAGCUUUUUUUUUUUCUGGCAUUUUCCCAGAAAAUACAAUAUGUUGGACCUUCUGUUCUCCAAUGAGUUGUAAAGAAAUCAAGUAAUUGUAUGUGUAGCUCUUUUUCUCAACCAAGGGGGUUUGGCCCUUGCCUCUUUUUGUCCACUGCUGUAAUAUAGUUGUCUAAUUGUAUUAUAUGUACAGAUAGCAAGUAGAAAGAAACACUGGGAAAUCAGUGAGUUAAAAAACUUGUCCGGACAUAAAAGUAUGAAGAUGGAGAUGUGUAGCUUGAUUUUCUUCCUUGUGUUAAUCUCCUUCUGAAUGGAGGGUAAAUGGAAUUUCGAACUUUUGGAAUUAAUGGAUUCCUCUUUGAUGAACUUCUAGUUUGGUUGUCUAUUUUUUGUAGACCGGAAUUUGAUUAUGUUAGUUGAAAUCAUUGUUUCUAGGAUAAGAGUGUCAAAGAAAUAGCGAGGAUGGAAUGUUAAUGACAAAAUCCCUCAAAAUCUAUUUGACGCGAUUUCAGAUAAUUAUUUAUGCGUUGUUUCAAAUAAUUUAAAUUGUUCUAUGUGUUGAAUAUUUUCUUUUUAGGUUUGUUGAUGAUUUAGCUUUAGGGAUUGUUUCAGAUAAUGAUCGAGAAAGAUAAUUUUGACUGAAAAAUAUUAAUUAUGUCGAGUUCUAAAAAAGUUAAUUCUUCGGAUUUAUUUAUUUUUUAAUUCAAAUUUCAAAAUUUGUUAUAUGAAAUAUAAAUAUUCUCAAACGAAUUAUUUAUUUAUUUUUUAUAAAUUUUUAAUACAUAAAUUAAAUUUUCGAACUUUAAAAUUUAAAUGUUAUUUUAUCUCUAUUUAAAAUUUAUUUAUCGGUAAAAUAAGAGUAGUAGAUGUCCAAACCAAGAACAAUUUUUUUUUAUUCAUUUGAAACUCAAAAUCUUUUAUUCUUCAAAAAAGUUGUAAUAUAUAAACUGAAUUGUCAAGGAAUUUAUGAUGAGUUUUGAUAUUUUUGAGAAAUGGUUUGUAUUAUAGGAGAUAAAUAAUAUUUUUAAUGAUUAUAUUUAAAAAUAAAAUUAUUUACUAAUUUUAUAUUUUUUAAGUUAGUAAAACAUUACCUCAUUAUAAAAUAAGUAAUAUAGUUAAAUUUUUAUUAUUUUUAUAAAAAAAUUUUGUAUUAUUAGAAUAAUAUUUUUUAAAAAAUAAUAUUAUUUAAAUGAUUAAAAUAAUUAAAAUUUUAUGUUAUCUAAUUUUUUUUAUUAUUUCAAAGUUUAUUAUUAAUUUAUAAUAUUAUUAACUAAAUGUAACAUCAUAUUUUAUAUUGAAAUAUUUUACAACAAGUUUUAUUAAUCACUUUAUUGUUCUUCACUUAAAGUAAUUUUUGUUAAAACUCAUUUUUAAAUUACAUUUUUCCCUACAUCGAAAGUAUAAGUAUGAGUACCCAAGUGUUCAUGUUUAUGUCAUUAACAUACAUAAUUAUUAUUGUCUUAUACCAACUUUUACUUCCUCUAUGUUGUUUUAGAAUUGGAAAAUUCAAUACUUUGUUGACUUAAUUUUAGUGUUUUGAUAUUUUCCGAGUAAAAGAUAUCAUAUGCUUAUUAGCUCUACUUUUAGAUAUUAUUAUUUUUCGUGUAGAAUGCUUAUAAGCAUUAUUGAACUUUUAUACGAAUGUAAUGCUUUAACAAGUUAAAUAAAAAUCAACAUUGUUUCGUGAUAUUUUUAGUUGGUGUAAAUUUUUCUAGUUAAAAAAAAAAAUAACUUCAUCUCAACUAGUUUCACUUUUAGUGUUUACCUAGUUGCAUAAAAAACUCAAUAAAUUUCUGAAGAAUCCGUGUUUAGAGAAUGAAGACAAUUGACUUUUGAUAUUAAGAAAAUAACUUGUUAACUCUUUAAUAGUCUUUUUCAUUUUUUUUUUUUGAGAGUUUAGAUUAGUGAAAUUAUCAUAUAUAUUUGAAGAAAAUCGAGAUAAAAACGAGAGUAACUUAAUAGGUUAAUAAAAAUUUAGUCUUAUGAUGGAAGUAACGAUUACUCUCUUAAACAGAUUUAUUAAUAGUUUUUGACAUCUCUUUCUCUUUGAGAUACAAUUUUUUAUUUUUUAUUUUUUAAUUUUUGAACAUCAUCGAUACGUCUAAUGUUUUAGCAUUUUAAACAUAUUUCAAAUUAGUUAUUGUUGGUUAAUCAACUGUUUUUAUCAAAAUAAAAACAUUCAAUAACUGUGAAUGGAUAUAAAUAAAUGAAGAUUUAUUUAUAUAAUAAUUCUUUAAUUAGUUACAAGAAAUUUUAUGAUUAUUACCGCAUAUAACCACUAUUUGAUGAUAUUUAACAACUGAUCUUUAUUUAAUAAUAAUCGAUCUUAUUAUAAUAAUCAAAAAAAUUCUUUAAGAGUUUGUGUGGUAAAUAUGCUCAUUUAUUCAAUGAUCAUUUUUUGUUAUAUUAUAAUAUAGUACAUUUAAGAAAUAAAUGGAUAUAGUCAUUUUAAAUUAUAUUAAAUUAUUAUUAUUUUUAAAAUAUCAAGUUAAAUUAAAUAUUAAAAUAAGCAGACAAAUUAGACAGAAAAUUAUUGGCCUCUCAAACAACUCCACUACUUGCAAAUGCAGAUUCUGAAUUUUCUCCACUGAAUGCAUUCUUCUUUCUCUUUGAUCUGCUUCAAUGAGGCCUUGUUGGGGAUGGUCCUUCUAUUAACUAUGUAGAUAUUCAAGUUGGAGAAGUUUACAGGAACCAAAUGAGUACAGAUGUUCUUAGUUUCAUUGCUUUUAAGUUGCUGACUGAACUCUAUAAUGUUACUGUAGUAGCUGUGGAUAAUUUGUUUCAUGAAGUAUAUGCUUUUUCUAUUUCUUCUACUUAUUGAUUGUUCCCUUUUUUCUCUAAUUACUUGAUUUCUCUAAUGCAUAUCUUACCUUUCCUUUUAAAAAAUACAAGUAACCUAAAACAUUCUUUAGUGUUGAAUGCAGCUUGUCGUCUACGAAGGCCAGUGAUUCAUGGACAUAUUCAAAUGCGAUCACUUUAAAACAUGAGCAAUGUAUAUCUGUCUAUUUGGCCAUCCAAGAAACAUAUACAGAUGAUUAUGGUCCUCCUCUGUAGAAUGCUGAAUGUAUGUAGCAGUUCUUUGGUUGUCACUUUUAGUUAUUAUAUCCUAAGCAAAGGAGUAUACGAUCUUUCAAAACUAAUUUAUCCAUAUUGUGGUUAUAUUUGGUUCUUCUAGGAGAAUAUAUGGUAAAUUCUUACCUUUGUCUUUUUUUUAUAUAUAAAAAGUGUGAAAAAGUACCGGUUUAAAAGUAUUAUAUCUCGAAACAUUUAGUAAGUUCACUACUCAAUUCUGACGUUUGUUUAUUUUAUGAAAAAUAAUAUUACAUUGUAGAUAUUUUUUUCUUAAAAAAAUGAUACUUUUUACUUAGUGUGUAUCGAUUAAAGCUUGUAGGUGUAAUAUUACUUUAAUGCAAUUAUUGUUAUAUGUUCUCAGUUGUUAAUAUUGGUUGUGACAAGUAGUUAAACAUUUAUUCUAGUUCAAAUUUAGGGUUAGGUUUAGUCGCAAUUUGCAUGACCAACGUACAUUGCGGGAAAACAUCCAUUGAUGGAAAAAUAGAUUAUCAUUUAUAAACGUUAUACCGUAACCAUGAUCAUGCACACUUUAUGUGACUCUAUCGCUGAUGCAAUCUGAAGUCUUUUAUUAUAAAUGUUCAUCAAAAUUCUUGCAUCCAUUUCUCUUUGAAAUCUCAAAGGAGCGUGUCUUAUACAUACAUGCUGAAAAGUAUGCAUGUAUGUUAAUAUGAUCUUUGGUCUAGUUUAUUUAUAUAAAAAAAUGAUUUUUCCCUAGUCAAGCUUCUAAAUAUUUCAACCCUUAAAACGAAAUUUCAUCUUACCAUUAUUGUUGGUAAAUGAUUGAGACCAGUCUUCGAUCAAUAAGUUUUUACCACAUAUAUUCAGGAAAAAUUUUAUGGUACUAUAAAUUUAAGAACUUGUCCUCUAUAUAUCGUGAAGUUUUUCAUGUUGGAGGUGUAAUCACUCUGUUGCUUUGGAAAUGUUUCAUGUAACUAAAUUUCUUUCUGAUGAAUGGUUUAUGAUGGUAAAUCAUUCCUAACUUCAUGCAAAUCUCUUUUUUCCUUGUCUUUUGACUUACGGAAUAAUAUAUUAUCAUGUUAGAUUUCUGCGUCGCAGUUUCUUUUUUCUAAAUCCAACAAUCAUUUGACAUGUGCAAAUUGAAUUUUAUUUUUACAUACAGGUGCCUCCACCUAUCUAUUUGGUCAAUGGUGAACCAAGAGAUACGUCCAUAGCCCAAUAGUACCGAAAAUGCACUGGAUACUUUUUCAUGCAUUUAAAUUCUAGAACUUCAAUUUUAUUGAGGAGUAAGAUACAUGGCUGAGAUUUUGAUACUAACAGCACAAUAGAUAUUUCUUUAAUAUCGGUUUCCUCUUGUUGAAGUAUAUCAACCUCAUUAAAUAUUGUAAAUUUGGUAAGAUCUUUUGAUUUAUCUUCUUUGAUAUCACCAGUAUCCGCUAGAUCAUAGAUGUGGCUGUUGUGUUGGUGAUAUCAAAGAAAAUAAAUCAAAAAAUCUAAUCAAAUUUACAAUUUUUAAUGAGGUUGAUAUACUCCAACAAAUGGAGACCGACAUUAAAGCAAUAUUUAUUGUGCUAUCAGUAUUGAAAUCCCAGGAAAGUAUCUUGCUCCUCAACAUGACUGGAGCACAAAUAAAGUGUACGAUAAAUGAUUUCUAAUGAAUGCAAAGUUCGUGAGAGGACCAAUUUGUUAAUUAAGAAUUUACCAAAAGUUUCAAGUUUUGGUAGUCUUCUUACUUGUGGGAUAGCACGUAGAAAGAAUCUGGAAAAUCAGGAAGUUGAAAAACUUAUCUUGAGAUAGAGCAUGGAGAAGGAGAUGUAGCUUGUUUUUUUUUCCUUGUGUUAAUCUUCUUUUUGGAUGAUAUGUACUGAAUUAUCAAAACUUGUGGAAUUUUAAGGAUUCAACUUUGAAAGGACUUCCUCUAGUUUGGUUGUCUUUUUAUUGUACACUUUAAAUACUUAUGUCAGUUGGAAUGAAUCGAUGUUUUCGCACGGUAAUGAUCGAACCAUGCAAAUUUAUCUUUUUUUUUCCUCGUCACUUCUCUAAUUGAAAUGAAUCAAUGCUGGAGCUUCGAAGAAAUAGCGAGUAUGGAACGUGAAUGACAAAACUUUUGUUCGUAAUAAUUAAAUUUGCAUUAUUACCAAAUUUAAAUGGUUAGUUUUAUUUAAUGAAUUUUUUUUGUUCAUUAUUAAGAUAUAAUAUAUUUAAAAUAUAAAUAGAUAUAAUAAUUUGAAAGUAUAUUAAAUUAAUGCGGCUUUUAAAAAUAUGAAAGUGAACUAAACAUAAAUUACUUUGGUUAAAUAUUUUUAAAUGUUUUAUCUGUUCUGUACUUCCAUAUUAUAAUUUAUAAUAAUGUAAUUUAUUAAAAUACAUCUGAAGUCUUAUAUUAUAAUAUGUUAGAUGAAUUUUUAAAUUAAAGAAAUGUAAAUCAAAUAUUUCAAAUAAAAUGCAAAACGACACACAAAUUAGCAGAAGAGUAAUUUUAUUGACUGUUCAUCUGGGUAUUAGAUAAAGUUGGAUUUUGAUUUAAAAAAAAAAAAAUUUGUUGUAACUUUUAUUUACUUGAGGAUAUAAAAGAUAAUUUAUUUCAUUAUAUUGUAAUCUGUUGACUCGGCCCAACCCGACUGAAACAAUCGGAUCAGGGUAUUUUGCAGAUCUUUGUUUGUGUUUUGAGAGAACGGCCUAUAAAUUCAUCGUUAACCACCAGGGAUUGAAGGAGCCGCUUCCGAUCUGUGGAACAAAACUGCGGGAAGUCUGCAUAGAACCUUACCAGAGAGAUGGAUGCUAUAAAACUUGUUGCGAAACAACUAGAGAAAGAAGAUGACGACGACGACGAAGAUGACGACGACGACGACGAAGAUGAAGGAACCAUCAUGCAUCAUGAACUCCUUUCGUCGAAUAAGUAAUUAACCAAGGUAAUCUCGACUGUUGUCUCUUGGGUGAGCCUCUUUUUUUUUAUCUUUUAUCACAAUGCUUUUGCACUUGAUUUGGAUUUCGUCAUGAUCGAUCGAAGCGGAAAUUAAGGAAAACAAAGAGAAAUUUUUUUGUCUAUCACUUCAGUCACUGGUUGAUUAGGUCAAGCGAUGAACUUGACUGAAAAAAUAAUCUGGGUAACUUCGUUUUUAAUUUGGGUUCAGUUGGAUUGAUUGUGAUUUUUGUGUAGGAAAUUUGAGUUUAUUAAAUCUGAUUAAUUUGAUUUUGAAUCUGGUUUCCAGUGUUUACAUCUAAACAUGUGUGAUUUAAAAGUUGAUUAUGCCAGGUUGAAAGCUUUUUAGCAACUAGGGAAUAAGGAUGGAUUCUGAAACUAAAUUCUAGUAACUUCCCUGGCAGUUCUCUGGUUGUCACUUUCAUUUGUUAUAUCCUAAGCGAACUGAGUAUAAAAUUUUGCAAAACUAAUUUAUCCAUAGUAUGGUUAUACUUGGUUCUUGUAGGAGAAUCUAUGGCAGAUUCUGACGUUUGCUUUUUUUUUUUUUUUUCUUCUACGAAUAGUGGGAAAAAGCACCAAAUUGAAAGCAUUAUUUCUUGGAACAUUUGGUAAGUUCACUACUCAAUUCUGACGUUUGUUUAUUUUAUGGAAAAUAAUAUCUUUUUGAUUAUAAACGGUGGAAUCAUCCAUUUUGAUAUAUAAGAAAUGAUCGAUUUGAAAAUGCUGUAAGAGAUCAAAUGUAAAAAUAUUUUUUUUAUACAUGCGAUCAGUAAGCGAACUAGGAUCUGCAAGAUCCUACUUUGAUCCACCCUUCCCUCUCGAAACCUCUUCUUAUCCAUAGACUCAAGAUCCAUAAAAGUGGCUAUCUUGUUUUCAGGCCUACCUUUUUCUUUCUCUACCUUCACCAUAGAUAUUUUUCUUCUAAAAAAAUGAUACUGUUUAGAUAGUGUAUAUCUAUUAACAGUUUUUAGGUUUAAUAUUACUUAAAUGCAGUUAUUGCUACGUGGCCUCAUUUGUUAACAUUGGUUGUGACAAGUACUUGAACAUUGAUGGUAGUUAAAAUUCAGGGUUAGGUUUAGUUGCAUUUUGCAUGACCAACGUGCAUCGUGCGAAAGCAUUCAUUUAUAUCAUUUAUAAAUGCUAUACUCUAACCAUGAUCAUGCACANNNNNNNNNNNNNNNNNNNNNNNNNNNNNNNNNNNNNNNNNNNNNNNNNNNNNNNNNNNNNNNNNNNNNNNNNNNNNNNNNGCUUCUAAUCCGUGAAAUACCUAAGGAAGUCUACAAUCUUUCCAUAGAGAUGUUCCUAUAACACUUGCUGUGAAGGCAUGUAGAUAAAGAAGAUGACGACGAUGAUGAAGACGACAUUGAGCUCAAAAACAUUGAGAUCAAUUUUCGUACCUGAAGUCUCAUAUCAUUAUACUGAGAGGAAAUCUUGCACAAAACUAUCAUAUUAGGGACGGUCCUUGUAUUCAUCAUGCAGAUAUUCAAGUUGGAGAAGUUUAUAAACAGCAAAUGAGUACAGAUGUUCUUAGUUGUACUGCUUUUAAGUUGCUGACUGCACUCUGUAAUGUUACUGUACUAGCUGUGGAUAAUGUUUUUUGGGAGGUAUAUGCUUUGUCUAUUUCUUCUACUUAUCGUUUGUUUCCUUUUUUGCUCUAAUUACUUGAUUUCUUUAGUGCAUCCUCUUACUUUUCCUUUUAAAAAAUACAAGUAACCUCUGACAUUCCUUGGUGGUGCAGCUUCUCUCCUACAAGUCCAGUCAUUCAUGGGCAGAUGCAAAUGCAAUCACUUUAAGACAUGAGCAAUGUAUAUCUGUCUGUCUGGCCAUCCAAGAAACGUAUACAGAUGAUAACUAUCCUCCUCGGUAGACUGCCAAAUGUACAUAGCGCCCACUUUCUAAUGCUUCUGAGUUCAUAAGCUUCGAUUUUCUUCAUAUUUAAUGCAUAUAUAUUAGCCAUUAUCUUUUGGGGACAGCAGGUUUUCAAUUGUUAAAAUGCAUGCUUACUGUAGUUAUUAUUAUUAUUAUUAUUUUGUUUUUCUGAAGUAUAUUAAAAUGUGCAGGCACAAGAACAGCCUUUAUACGUGUUGACUCUGGAAUGGAAUUCAGAAAACCUUGAGACUGUUGGGAUUCCAAAUUUUCUGGAAUAUAUUUACAUUAACAAGUUUGUUGGACGUGAGAUUGAUCUUCUCCUGGUGAAAGUUUUCCUUGAGAAUGCGAAAGCAUUAGUGAAGUUGGCCACUACCUUUCAGAGUGGUGCUGAAUCGGAUGAUGGAAAGAAAUCUAAGAUUAUUGAGAAGUUAUUGGCAUUUCCAAGAGCUUCAACAAACCUUGAGACUGUUGGGAUUCCAAAUUUUCUGGAAUAUAUUUACAUUAACAAGUUUGUUGGACGUGAGAUUGAUCUUCUCCUGGUGAAAGUUUUCCUUGAGAAUGCGAAAGCAUUAGUGAAGUUGGCCACUACCUUUCAGAGUGGUGCUGAAUCGGAUGAUGGAAAGAAGUCUAAGAUUAUUGAGAAGUUAUUGGCAUUUCCAAGAGCUUCAACAAAAACAGAAGUAUUUCUCUUGUAAAUUAAACUUUAGUUUCUGAAAAGAGCUAGUUAUUGGCACUAAG